Long non-coding RNA from Salvia splendens (bonfire salvia), 605 nucleotides. RefSeq lists it as uncharacterized. The record is from RefSeq and is a predicted model, not a curated record. The transcript has 4 exons. Lineage: Eukaryota; Viridiplantae; Streptophyta; Magnoliopsida; Lamiales; Lamiaceae.
UUGUUGAUCAUACCAGCAAUGCAUCUUUGUUAUUGUGGGAUAGGGAAGGCAGCCAACUUUUAGGGAGAAGUGUGACAGAUUUUUUAGGAAAUGGUGGUCAGCAGGUUGCUCCUAAGAAUUCCAUUCCUGCACUUAUUGAAGAGAUUCUUGUGGGUCAGAAUGUCCUAUUUAAACUUCAGUUGAAAAAUCAUAUUGAGUAUUACAGAAGUUACCCAUUUACUGUGAACAAAGUUUGUAAUCUCACUGAAGUAGUUGACAAGUAUACACCUAAAGACUUGGGUGAACAGAUUUUUAAAUUUGAUACCAAGUUAUCUGAUCUACUUUUUGGAGCUGAUCUUGCUGAGGUUUCUCAAAAGCCUUAUGCUACAACUGAUCUGUCCAGCCUUGGUAAUGAGAAUAUCAGUGACUUAUUUGUUGAAGGAUCUGAAUUAAAUGUUGGAGUUGUUGUUGCUGAGGGUUCUCAGAAAGUGUUUGAUACACCUAAUCUGUCUACUGUUUCUAAUGAUAAAAAUCAUGGAUGGGGUGCUGAAGGCUCAGUAAAGCGAUGCUUGGAUUUAGAAUUUGACAGAUGUGCUGAUGUUGGUGAAGUUCAGAUGAAGAAGAAA